ACAUACGUACGUGCAAAGCUAGCAAGCUAGCAAGCAGGUAGCUGGAUGGAUAUCCAACCACGUAUGUGUGUGUGUGCAGCCGGAUCGUUUCUUCAACCGGCUACGAUCGACACGACACGAUUUCGGCGGAACGAACACGAAGGCACGAAUCGAUGUAUGGCCACAGGCUCGUGUCGAGCCUGUCAAACUUUGUAUUGCUUUUUGUUUUUCUGGUGGUACAAUCAACACCCCUAGGGUGUCUUUUAUACACGUCCACAAGGGACUAUGGAAAUAGACUAGGACUAGGUAUCCUAAUACUACUAGGACUAGGUUUGGCUUUCUUUCCUAAUCCUACAGGAACAACAUGAUUAACUUCUACAAGCGCCGGCUCUGCAAUCC
Molecule: long non-coding RNA, 378 nt
Filed under: Hordeum vulgare
Lineage: Eukaryota; Viridiplantae; Streptophyta; Magnoliopsida; Poales; Poaceae
Description: long non-coding RNA (HVUL_LNC015761)
Source: RNAcentral